GAUGAACGCUGGCGGCGUGCCUAAUACAUGCAAGUCGAGCGAACGGACGAGACGCUUGCUUCUCUGAUGUUAGCGGCGGACGGGUGAGUAACACGUGGAUCACCCCCCUAUAAGACUGGGAUAACUUCGGAACACCGGAGCUAAUCCCGGAUGAUAUUUUGAACCGCAUGGUUGAAAAGUGAAAGUCGGUCUUGCUGUCACUUAUCGCUGGAUCCGCGCUGCAUUGGCUAGUUGGUGAGGUCACGGCUUACCAAGGCAAGGAUGCAUAGACGACCUGAGAGGGGGAUCGGCGGCAUGGGAACUGGGACGCGGUCCAGACUCCUAAGGGAGGCAGCAGUAGGGUAUGUGACGCAGUGGGCGGAAGCAUGACGGAGCAACGCGGCGUGAGUGAUGAAGGUCUUCGGAGCGGAAUACUCUGUUACUAGGGGAGAACAGAUGUGUAAGGAACUGUGCCGAUAGUGACGGUACCUAAUAAGAAAGCAACGGCUAACUACGUG
RNAcentral lists this ribosomal RNA (497 nucleotides) under uncultured bacterium. RNAcentral's name for it is "partial 16S ribosomal RNA". It matches the Rfam family "Bacterial small subunit ribosomal RNA", at positions 28 to 507 of the family's 1533-position model. The record is from RNAcentral.